RNAcentral lists this ribosomal RNA (321 nucleotides) under uncultured Piloderma. RNAcentral describes it as "eukaryotic LSU rRNA". It matches the Rfam family "Eukaryotic large subunit ribosomal RNA", at positions 1 to 315 of the family's 3401-position model. Lineage: Eukaryota; Fungi; Basidiomycota; Agaricomycetes; Atheliales; Atheliaceae. The record is from RNAcentral.
UUGACCUCAAAUCAGGUAGGACUACCCGCUGAACUUAAGCAUAUCAAUAAGCGGAGGAAAAGAAACUAACAAGGAUUCCCCUAGUAACUGCGAGUGAAGCGGGAAAAGCUCAAAUUUAAAAUCUGGCGGUCUUGCGGCCGUCCGAGUUGUAAUCUGGAGAAGCGUUUAUCCGCGCCGGACCGUGUACAAGUCUUCUGGAAGGGAGCGUCGUAGAGGGUGAGAAUCCCGUCUUUGACACGGACAACCGGUGCUUUUGUGAUGCGCUCUCGAGAGUCGAGUUGUUUGGGAUGCAGCUCAAAUGGUGGUAAAUUCCAUCUAAAG